UACAGAGGUCUCAAGCGUUGUUCGGAUUCAUUGGGCGUAAAGGGUGUGUAGGUGGCGCGCUACGUCCGGUGUGAAAUUUCGGAGCUUAACUCCGAAACUGCAUUCGAUACUGGCGUGCUUGAGGACUGGAGAGGAGACUGGAAUUUACGGUGUAGCAGUGAAAUGCGUAGAGAUCGUAAGGAAGACCAGUGGCGAAGGCGGGUCUCUGGACAGUUCCUGACACUGAGGCACGAAGGCCAGGGGAGCAAACGGG
Molecule: ribosomal RNA, 253 nt
Filed under: uncultured bacterium
Lineage: Bacteria
Description: partial 16S ribosomal RNA
Rfam family: Bacterial small subunit ribosomal RNA
Source: RNAcentral